This 596-nucleotide long non-coding RNA is filed under the name Hordeum vulgare. Its description in RNAcentral is "long non-coding RNA (HVUL_LNC005031)". Lineage: Eukaryota; Viridiplantae; Streptophyta; Magnoliopsida; Poales; Poaceae. The record is from RNAcentral.
CAGAUAAUUCCUGAGCUGAAGAUGGACUAUCUUAGGCGUGUCGUCGCACCAUCUCAAGAGAUUGAUGGUGUGGCCACUUGGGAUUUCAUCAACAUCUGACAUGAUCAAUAUGUCGUCAUCUUCAAUUCUUGCAAUCCUAAGAAGCUGGUCCAGGGCAACCCUCUGAUACGACUCCUCAACAAAUGGAUUUUCGCCCUUCAUGAAUCUUCCCCCAUAUGUGCCAUAGGUCAGCCGCGAUUCAGCAAAUCUAAAUCGAUGGCGGUUUUCCUUGAAGAAGAGUGGCUUUAUCACGCCAGUGAAAGUUGAGUUGGACUCAAGCAGGACGAACUCUGACACAUAGGGGCUGAGUUCAUUCCAACGAAGUUCAAGGAUAUCAAGCUCAUUACUGAAGAGCACAGCAUCGAAAACACGGCGUGGGGUCUCCCUGACUUUCCACCCAUGUAACUUGCAGAGGUUCUCCAUGGUGACAUUCUCAUUGUAGUAGUGAGGGAUUAUCUUGAAGGGCUCGGGCGGAGAUUCCCAGAUUGGCCGGAGGAAGUAUGUGACCUUCUGGCCAUGCUUAUAUAUUAUUAACAUUACCAGCGGCACACCAAUGA